UGCAGUCGAGCGGUAGAGAGAAGCUUGCUUCUCUUGAGAGCGGCGGACGGGUGAGUAAUGCCUAGGAAUCUGCCUGGUAGUGGGGGAUAACGUUCGGAAACGAACGCUAAUACCGCAUACGUCCUACGGGAGAAAGCAGGGGACCUUCGGGCCUUGCGCUAUCAGAUGAGCCUAGGUCGGAUUAGCUAGUUGGUGAGGUAAUGGCUCACCAAGGCGACGAUCCGUAACUGGUCUGAGAGGAUGAUCAGUCACACUGGAACUGAGACACGGUCCAGACUCCUACGGGAGGCAGCAGUGGGGAAUAUUGGACAAUGGGCGAAAGCCUGAUCCAGCCAUGCCGCGUGUGUGAAGAAGGUCUUCGGAUUGUAAAGCACUUUAAGUUGGGAGGAAGGGCAGUUACCUAAUACGUGAUUGUUUUGACGUUACCGACAGAAUAAGCACCGGCUAACUCUGUGCCAGCAGCCGCGGUAAUACAGAGGGUGCAAGCGUUAAUCGGAAUUACUGGGCGUAAAGCGCGCGUAGGUGGUUUGUUAAGUUGGAUGUGAAAUCCCCGGGCUCAACCUGGGAACUGCAUUCAAAACUGACUGACUAGAGUAUGGUAGAGGGGUGGUGGAAUUUCCU
Molecule: ribosomal RNA, 621 nt
Filed under: Pseudomonas fluorescens
Lineage: Bacteria; Pseudomonadati; Pseudomonadota; Gammaproteobacteria; Pseudomonadales; Pseudomonadaceae
Description: bacterial SSU rRNA
Rfam family: Bacterial small subunit ribosomal RNA
Source: RNAcentral